This 466-nucleotide ribosomal RNA is filed under the name uncultured bacterium. Its description in RNAcentral is "bacterial SSU rRNA". It matches the Rfam family "Bacterial small subunit ribosomal RNA", at positions 28 to 500 of the family's 1533-position model. The record is from RNAcentral.
GACGAACGCUGGCGGCGUGCUUAACACAUGCAAGUCGAGCGGAAAGGCCCUUUCGGGGGUACUCGAGCGGCGAACGGGUGAGUAACACGUGAGUAAUCUGCCCUUGGCUUUGGGAUAACUACCGGAAACGGUGGCUAAUACCGGAUACGACCACUCCUUGCAUGAGGUGGUGGUGGAAAGUUUUUUCGGCCAGGGAUGUGCUCGCGGCCUAUCAGCUUGUUGGUGGGGUAAUGGCCUACCAAGGCUUCGACGGGUAGCCGGCCUGAGAGGGUGACCGGCCACACUGGGACUGAGACACGGCCCAGACUCCUACGGGAGGCAGCAGUGGGAAUAUUGGACAAUGGGCGGAAGCCUGAUCCAGCAACGCCGCGUGAGGGAUGACGGCCUUGGGUUGUAAACCGUCUUUCAGUACCGACGAAGCGCCGAUGAUGGUGGUGACGGUAGGUACAGAAGAAGCACCGGCAAC